Sebastes umbrosus (honeycomb rockfish) is the source of this 1305-nucleotide long non-coding RNA. RefSeq lists it as uncharacterized. The record is from RefSeq and is a predicted model, not a curated record. The transcript is spliced from 4 exons. Lineage: Eukaryota; Metazoa; Chordata; Actinopteri; Perciformes; Sebastidae.
GAUGGCCCAUCAAACAUGGCAACCUGUUCUGAGGAAAACAUGUUGAGGAGGACUGGUCAUACUGGCACAAACAUCUGUAUUUGUUUUCUGGAGCUACUAUUUAGUUCCCUAGUCAAGAUAACAACAGAGCUAACGCUAAACUAGUUUGUUCCCGGGGAAAUCUUGUGUUUGUAGCCGAAAACAGGAGACCAAAGGGCGGAUCGACGGGUUGUACCUCCCGCCGGCUCCAGGGACUACGAGACGUCACGUCUCUCCUCCGUUGCUAAGCAGCUGUUACUCAGCAACCAGCUGUUUCCAGCCUCAAGGGACUGACAGAAACUACCUGAGGAUAAUUCAUACUCACCAACUAAGAGCUGACUGCAGAGAAUCACAGGCCAGAACUCAUUUACAGCGAGAAUGCAUCACAGCGAGUGGGACAGUGGAUGCAGCUCAUCACAGGGAUAUAAGGCCAAAUGCUUUUGAAGAGAACCAGGCUGCAGGGAUUUGCUCUCAGUCAGACACAAGAGCAUCAGUGAGGUCGGGCCCUGAUGUUGGGAGACGAGGCCUCACAGUCAGCGCUCCAGUUUGACCCAAAGGUGCUGGAUGGAGUUGAGCAGACUGACAGAGUGGAAGCCUACAAUGCAGGAAAGCUGAUGAGUAUGCAAAUGACUGAGACGGAAAGAGAGAGAGAGAGAGAGAGAAAUGAAAGCAGAGAGGCAGUAGCGGAGAGUGAUAUGUGUCAUUUGGUGAUGUCAUGCAGCCAAGCGUCCAGGGUGACAGCGGCGGUGGUAACGGCCUGAGUCAGAGGAUGACAUCAACGCAACAAGCCGUCAGACAGGUUGUGAAAGGGCUUAGUCCCACGCUCCCAUUGUCCUCUGGUUUAAUGCUGUUAUUCAGCCCGCCACCGGCCUUACCAUUUGUUAAUCUGACCUAACACACAGUUAAACACAGGACAAAGACACACAAACAGCCAAUUUAAAGGCCAGCGGCAGAAAUGUCAGCCUGUAAUACACCAUCACAGCUUUUUCAAUACAAAAGAAGAAGCACACAGUUUUUUGAGUGAGGUCAGGCAACGAACAUUUACAAGCAGACAGAUUCAGCAACGCUUGAAUUGAUUAGCUCAGUGUUUGGCUUCUAAUGUAGACGUGUAUGAAAACAUAUAGAUUCAUCAGAGGAUCAUUCUUGUGAUUUUCUAUAUUUGUCUUCCCAUACAACUAAACUGAAUUCCCAAUUAUGUUUCGAGGGAAACGUAUUUUGUCACGGAUUACAUUUGUCUUUGACGCAUCUAAUAGUCCGCUGAAGGCCACAGCAAGUGACGUAGUACAU